GACGAACGCUGGCGGCGUGCUUAACACAUGCAAGUCGAACGGGCCUGUCUUCUUUUUUGGGGGUGGGUUGAGUGGCGAACGGGUGAGUAUCACGUGAGUAACCUGCCCUUCGGUCCUGGAUAACCGCUUGAAAGGGCGGCUAAUACGGGGUGGUCCGGUUGGUCCGCAUGGGCUGGUCGGGAUAGAUUCACUGUUUUUGGUGUUUCGGCGGGGGAUGGGCUCGCGGCCUAUCAGCUUGUUGGUGGGGUGAUGGCCUACCAAGGCGGUGACGGGUAGCCGGCCUGAGAGGGUGGGCGGCCACACUGGGACUGAGAUACGGCCCAGACUCCUGCGGGAGGCAGCAGUGGGGGGUAUUGCACGAUGGGCGGAAGCCUGAUGCAGCGACGUCGCGUGAGGGAGGGAGGCCUUCGGGUUGUGAACCUCUGUUUCCGGUGGUGAAGGCCCUGUCCGUGUGGUGGGGUUGACGGUAGCCGGGGAUGAAGCGCCGGCUAACUACGUG
Molecule: ribosomal RNA, 499 nt
Filed under: uncultured bacterium
Lineage: Bacteria
Description: partial 16S ribosomal RNA
Rfam family: Bacterial small subunit ribosomal RNA
Source: RNAcentral